RNAcentral lists this ribosomal RNA (377 nucleotides) under uncultured eukaryote. RNAcentral describes it as "SSU rRNA". It matches the Rfam family "Eukaryotic small subunit ribosomal RNA", at positions 587 to 972 of the family's 1831-position model. The record is from RNAcentral.
AGCUCCAAUAGCGUAUAUUAAAGUUGUUGCAGUUAAAAAGCUCGUAGUUGGAUCUCAGGGUGAGCUCAGUUGGUCGGCCCAUGAGGUCAGAACUGGCUGUCUCUCCCUUGUUUCUGAAUCCCGGCCGGAGUUUAUUCUUCGGUUGUGGACUUCAGAUCGUUUACCUUGAAAAAUUAGAGUGUUCAAAGCGGGCGUUUGCUUGAAUACAUUAGCAUGGAAUAAUGGAAUAGGACCCUGGUCUUAUUUUGUUGGUUUUGAGGACUAGAGUAAUGAUUAAUAGGGAUAGUUGGGGGCAUUCAUAUUUAAUUGUCAGAGGUGAAAUUCUUGGAUUUAUGAAAGAUGAACUUCUGCGAAAGCAUUUGCCAAGGAUGUUUUCA